UACGUAGGGUGCGAGCGUUAAUCGGAAUUACUGGGCGUAAAGCGUACGCAGGCGGCUCUGUAAGACAGAUGUGAAAUCCCCGGGCUUAACCUGGGAACUGCAUUUGUGACUGCAGAGCUAGAGUUUGUCAGAGGGGGGUGGAAUUCCACGUGUAGCAGUGAAAUGCGUAGAGAUGUGGAGGAACACCGAUGGCGAAGGCAGCCCCCUGGGAUAUGACUGACGCUCAUGUACGAAAGCGUGGGGAGCAAACAGGAUUAGAAACCCGAGUAGUCC
This 273-nucleotide ribosomal RNA is filed under the name uncultured bacterium. RNAcentral's name for it is "partial 16S ribosomal RNA". It matches the Rfam family "Bacterial small subunit ribosomal RNA", at positions 524 to 796 of the family's 1533-position model. The record is from RNAcentral.